Non-coding RNA from Paralichthys olivaceus (Japanese flounder), 1770 nucleotides. The record is from RefSeq and is a predicted model, not a curated record. NCBI's taxonomy places the organism in Eukaryota, Metazoa, Chordata, Actinopteri, Pleuronectiformes, Paralichthyidae.
UGUCUAUUACUCUGAGACAUUCAUCUCGUCGUUGGCAGCUUACUUCUUGCCUCAGGCAGCUCUUUGGACAAGUAUGAUGCUGGGUGACGUCGGCAGGCAUGGUUGAGGAAAUUGGUGGAGGAAAUUUGCCAAGAUAUCGGUGAAAAAAAGCCAGAAUUUCAUGCAAGACAACAAGACACAGGGAGUGAUGGAAAAGAGUCAGUGGGACUUGAAAAAGUCCGCUUUAAAGGAAGACGACUGACCAGACUAGAUGACUUCAUUAACACUUACAAAGAUACUCACAAAGCCCUUUUAAGGGAAUUCCAUGACUCGCAACGAAUCACUAAAAGAAAGGGAGCACCGUAUUCUGAAGGAGAGGUGGAGGCAGCUAAAGGAAAGUAGGAGAGGAGUUUAUGUUACCUCCAUCAAACAGCCAUUCCACUUCAAAGAGAAAAAAACAAUGGUGGCUCCAGCUCCGGUGACGACCAGCCAAGCUCCAGCUGAUAACCAAUCAGCAUCAGUGGCAGCUAAGGACUAUGGGGACCAAAAGCCAGUCACCGAGGAGACACAUGAUUUGAAGAUGCACUUUAUUUAAUUGCCUUUUUUAAUGUGCAUUUAUAUUUUCAUUGCAAAAUAUAUGACAAGCAGUUGAAGACUACAUGAAAUAUUUUGAUUAACCAAACAUUUUGGAUAAAUUUAGAAUCAAUAACACUUUUUGGAAAAAAAAUGUAAGUUUCUAAUGCUUUUCAUGAAACGAAUCAGGUGACUGCAUCUCAAGUGACAAAAAGCAAAGCUCCAGCUGAUAACCAAUCAGCAUCAGUGACAUCCAAGAACCAUGGGGACCAAAAACCAGUUACCCAGGACACACAUGGUUUGAAGAAAAGGAAGAAAAUGCAUAAGCCUACAGGACAAAAGCAAAGGAGCCAUGGACCACUUUGGACAAAGCACUCACCAGAGGAAGUCAUCCAAGCCAUCGAAUUAGACAAGCAUUCAUUUACCAAGACCAAAUGCUAAGCAUCCUGGACCACAAAACUUGGCUCAGCAGUGACGAAGUGGAUUCAGCCUGUUUUCAUCUUGCACAGAAGUUCCCUGAUGUAGAUGGGUUUCAGUCCUGCCUUUGCCAUCAGGCUCUUCACCAGGGAGGUGUGGUUGGGACACCAGAGAAGUCAUUUGUGCAAAUAUUAAAUGUAAAUGACAACCACUGGAUCACAGCAAGUAAUAUUUUCUGUGGACCCAAUGAGCUUUGCAUUUAUGACAGUCUGAAUAUAAACACCAACAAGAAGACAAAGCAAAAACUUUCCUGGUUAUUUCGUCCACAAGCACCUCAAUUCCUCAUUAGAAGGCCUGCCAUGCAGAUGCAGCAGUCAGCUAGCAGUUGUGGACCUUUUGCAUUGGCUUUUGCAUCAGUGUUAUGUGAGGGAGUCAGGCCAGAGGAGUGCCAGUUUCAGGAAAACAACAUGAGACAAAGACUGUACAGAGCUUUGCUGAACAAAACGGCUCUAGUCUUUCUGUAUAAAAACAUAAAGGCAAAGCCUGAAAGGGCCUCAGUUCAGGUUGAGGUUCACUGCAUCUGCAGGACCUCACACAACAGAGAGGUGAUGGUGCAGUGCAGCAACUGCAGUACUUGGUACCACCCAAAUUGUGUGUCUGUCCCACACAAAGCUUUGGACAGUACUGCAGAAGUGCAACUGUGAAAGCUGCACAAAUCAAGAGUGAAAGUUGUGGGGCCUGGCCCUGGUCCUGCCAGCCUUGGGGCGGGGUCAUUCCCUCUGUUGUGUGUGGUGUGGAUGU